CCGGCGAGGCGCCCGCGGUCCGCCAGCUCGCUGCCAUCAGCAUGCGGCGGCCCCGGCCAAAAAUAACCCUAGAAAGCGAAGCCGAGAGCCGCGGGCUCCUGCCAGGGAUGUAACUGGAGGCAGCGAGCAGCGGGCGAGCCAGCGCUGCACACUUGCUCGGGGGGAUCACGGUCUGUCAGCGCCGGGCCCCCGCCCCGGGUGCCCCCGCACGUAGUGGAGAAUCCCGGCUGGGUGAGGCCGGGCAGUGGUACUGUCCCAGCAUUGCCUUGACAAAGGCACUACCAGAAGUGUAAUGGGUUGCACUGAGCACUGUAAAUUUUUUGAUUCAAACUCAAGGUCUGCUUUAGGUGCCUUUGUCCCUAUAGGCCCAGUUUUUCUUGCACUGAGCUGGGAAUUGAGUUGUUGCCUGUGUGGACUUGAAGGAAAGAAGUCUGUCCCAGUGCAGCAGAAGCCCUUUGUAGCCACACAAUUACUUCUAAUUUAGUUGACCUGGUGGCCUGAAGUGUCCCCUCUGCAAGAUGGCAGAAAAUACUAAUGGAAUUUCCUGAAGGUAGAUUAUGGAAGCUCGGCCCAGUUCUGAUUCGAUGCCAACAUACAGGAAAUUGCCAUUGAUGUGACACUUCCUUUCUGCCAUAUAUUUUGUAUCAGCUUGCAAAUGUUGCAGAGGAAUUGAACCAGCACCAUUAACUAAGCGAGUUUUGCCUUUAACUCACAGUUCAUCACUAAGUAUAAUACCUGAGUUUUAGAUGGAAACGGAUUUUUGUGGUUGUUUCAUGCAAUAUGUGUUCCAGAUAGAAAUGUGGAUACUCAAAAUUAAUUCAGCCAUUCCCCAUGGUGCCAUGUUUUGAAGUUCAAAUUCUUAUCCUGCCACUGAACUGGAUACUCCAGUUCCUGUUAUAGUGCAGUUAUCAUAUGAAAAAUGGCAUGCAGUUAUUGUAAGUUGUUAACCUGAGCUACUGAAACAAAAAAGUUCUAAAAAUAAAAUGUCAGUUUAUUUAAUCCAUUCUAAAAAUUGCAAUUUCAAUUAAUAUAUUGUUUUGUCAAUAAGAGCAAAAUCACUUCUAUACUCCAGUGCUUCCAAAUGAGGAAUUUUCUUUUUUUUUCUUAAACUUGCAAUGAUUUUGUUUCAAAA
Molecule: long non-coding RNA, 1132 nt
Organism: Catharus ustulatus (Swainson's thrush)
Lineage: Eukaryota; Metazoa; Chordata; Aves; Passeriformes; Turdidae
Exons: 3
Source: RefSeq, a predicted model, not a curated record